UGGGGAAUAUUGCACAAUGGGCGCAAGCCUGAUGCAGCCAUGCCGCGUGUAUGAAGAAGGCCUUCGGGUUGUAAAGUACUUUCAGAGGGGAGGAAGGGAGUAAAGUUAAUACCUUUGCUCAUUGACGUUACCCGCAGAAGAAGCACCGGCUAACUCCGUGCCAGCAGCCGCGGUAAUACGGAGGGUGCAAGCGUUAAUCGGAAUUACUGGGCGUAAAGCGCACGCAGGCGGUUGAUUGAGUCAGAUGUGAAAUCCCCGGGCUUAACCCGGGAAUUGCAUCUGAUACUGGGCAGCUAGAGUCUUGUAGAGGGGGGUAGAAUUCCAUGUGUAGCGGUGAAAUGCGUAGAGAUGUGGAGGAAUACCGGUGGCGAAGGCGGCCCCCUGGACAAAGGCUGACGCUCAGGUGCGAAAGCGUGGGGAGCAAACAGG
This 429-nucleotide ribosomal RNA is filed under the name Chloroflexota bacterium. RNAcentral describes it as "Chloroflexi bacterium partial 16S ribosomal RNA". It matches the Rfam family "Bacterial small subunit ribosomal RNA", at positions 355 to 776 of the family's 1533-position model. Lineage: Bacteria; Bacillati; Chloroflexota. The record is from RNAcentral.